CCGCUACACCAUCAACUCCUAUUGCUUGUUGCUUUCCUGGAAAAACUACAUGCUUCAGCUUGUCAGUAGUUUUCUUCUCAUUCUUAGAAAGGAUCUGUUCAGCAUAGAACACCUGUGCAGCACGGUUACCAAGGAUCCACGGGUCAUCUUUGUAUCCCACUUUACUUAGAUCAAGAACUCUGACCCCAUAAUUAUCCACUGUGACAUGUUUAUCUUCUACCCAUUGACAUCGAAACACGGGGAUCUGAAAUGUACCAUAGUCUAGUUCCCAUAUGUCCUCGAUGAAGCCAAAGUAUGUAAUAAUAUCACCAGUUUCGUCGUCUAUGGCCUCGCAUCGAACACCACUAUUUUGUGUCAUGCUCUUUUUAUCCUUGGAUUUGGUAUGAAAUGUGAAUCCACUUAUGUCAUAUGUUUGCCAUGUUGUCACUUGGCGUGAUGGUCCA
This 443-nucleotide long non-coding RNA is filed under the name Sorghum bicolor (sorghum). RNAcentral describes it as "long non-coding RNA (SBIC_LNC018356)". The record is from RNAcentral. Lineage: Eukaryota; Viridiplantae; Streptophyta; Magnoliopsida; Poales; Poaceae.